Molecule: long non-coding RNA, 319 nt
Filed under: Medicago truncatula (barrel medic)
Lineage: Eukaryota; Viridiplantae; Streptophyta; Magnoliopsida; Fabales; Fabaceae
Description: long non-coding RNA (MTRU_LNC006208)
Source: RNAcentral
UUGAUGAUGAUUUUAGUGUUGGUGAUUUGUAUUUUUACAUGCUAUUUGGUGAUGACAUAUUGGUACUUUUACAUGUAUGAAAGGCGUCAGUGUUAUGUUGGUGAGUUGUUGUAUGAACGUAUGCAUAAUUGUGUCAUAUGUUCAUGCAUUCGUAAGUAUUUAGAGGUGAUGUUCAGAGGCGAUGGAUAUGAUACUAUUUUGAUGUGACGACCUUGACGAUGAUUCGGUUCUACAUGCAUAUAGAAGUUGUGUUUAGGCGCAUUGCAUAUUUUGACAUGUGUCAUAAUUGUUAUGUGCUUGGUGAACAUUUGUAUGGUUG